AAGGCCUGAUGUGUGUGAGAUUACCCGCUGAAUUUAAGCAUAUAAGUAAGCGGAGGAAAAGAAACUAACUAGGAUUCCCUUAGUAAUGGCGAAUGAACAGGGAUCAGCUCAGUGCCAAAUCGGAAUCACUUGUGGUUCUGAAAUGUGGCUUGAAGGCAGUACCAGUGGCAUCGCGGACGAAAGUCUCUUGGAAAAGAGCGUCAUAGAGGGUGAGAAUCCCGUGAGUCGUUCGCCGUUUGUCACGUACGGUCUGCGUUCUAACGAGUCGCGUUCCUUGGGAUUGGAGCGUAAACGGGUGGUAAAUUUCAUCCAAAGCAAAAUAUAUACUCGAGACCGAUAGCACAAAAGUACCGUGAGGGAAAGGUGAAAAGAACUUUGAGAAGAGGGUUAAAUAGUGCCUGAAAUCGUUGAGAAGGAAGCGGAUGCCGCCGUUGCAUAUGCUGAUUGU
Molecule: non-coding RNA, 448 nt
Filed under: Perkinsus marinus ATCC 50983
Lineage: Eukaryota; Perkinsozoa; Perkinsida; Perkinsidae
Description: Eukaryotic large subunit ribosomal RNA
Rfam family: Eukaryotic large subunit ribosomal RNA
Source: Rfam by way of RNAcentral